AGAUUGAACGCUGGCGGCAGGCCUAACACAUGCAAGUCGAGCGGUAGAGAGGUGCUUGCACCUCUUGAGAGCGGCGGACGGGUGAGUAAUGCCUAGGAAUCUGCCUAGUGGUGGGGGGGUAACGUUCGGAAACGGACGCUAAUACCGCAUACGUCCUACGGGAGAAAGCGGGGGACCUUCGGGCCUCGCGCCAUUAGAUGAGCCUAGGUCGGAUUAGCUAGUUGGUGAGGUAAUGGCUCACCAAGGCGGCGAUCCGUAACUGGUCUGAGAGGAUGAUCAGUCACACUGGAACUGAGACACGGUCCAGACUCCUACGGGAGGCAGCAGUGGGGAAUAUUGGACAAUGGGCGAAAGCCUGAUCCAGCCAUGCCGCGUGUGUGAAGAAGGUCUUCGGAUUGUAAAGCACUUUAAGUUGGAGGAAGGUUGUAAUUAAUACGUUGCAACUUUGACGUUACGACAGAAUAAGCACGCUAACUUCGUGCCAGCAGCCG
This 491-nucleotide ribosomal RNA is filed under the name uncultured soil bacterium. RNAcentral describes it as "bacterial SSU rRNA". It matches the Rfam family "Bacterial small subunit ribosomal RNA", at positions 26 to 517 of the family's 1533-position model. The record is from RNAcentral.